This 3640-nucleotide long non-coding RNA is filed under the name Olea europaea (common olive). Its description in RNAcentral is "long non-coding RNA (OEUR_LNC003378)". Lineage: Eukaryota; Viridiplantae; Streptophyta; Magnoliopsida; Lamiales; Oleaceae. The record is from RNAcentral.
UAAGCUGCCCUUUCCAUUUCUCUCAGUGCCUUGAAGUUGUCUGGUGCAUUUCUAUCCUUUUUCAAGUGUAGCCUGUCGUUUUCUCUCCAUUUCCAAAUGCUGUCCUUCUUUCUCCAUUUUCAAUCUUAAAGUAAGUUUUCAGUUUUUCCAUUUUCUUCUUUUUGUGCUUUCAUUUUCUUUACCCUACACUCACAUCUGGAUUUUUUGAAAUUUUGUGUUAUAUGUUUGGUUUACUUGGUAGAAAAAGGAGAGGUUUGAUUUAUUAUUAUUAUUAUUAUUUUUUUAUAUUGUAGGGUUUUCAAUUUUCUCAAAAAAAAAAAAAUUUCAAUUUUAUUACUGCAUAUAUUUUAACGUCCUUCUCCUAAUCCCCGACUUUUCCCUCACCGUAUAGAUUUUUGAUUUUUCACUUUCCGUAUUCAUUUUGUAUUUCAUGAAACUUAUUUGUGCUAAUUUUUGCUUCAGGUGGUAUUGGUGCUUCUUAUCUUAGAAAUCAAUAUUUUGGUGUAAGUUUCUUUGUAUGGCUUUUUUAUCAGUUUGGUUAAUUUGUAUUAUCUUUUUCUUUUUGAGUUCUCUAUGGGCACUGCUUAUCAUUGGUUUAAAAUCCUUUUUGAGAUUCCUUUCUGUGCUUUUCUUUAUCGUGGAUGCUCUACCAAAAUCAUGAGACACAAACUCAAUUUGAGCACAUUGUAGCCAUGAAUAAAAAAAAUCCUACAUAUAGGUUUUUAUAUGUUAAUAGCUACUUGUCAACAUUUCAAGUGGGAGUGACAAGUAAUGUUUUAGUGACUUAAGGUUAGGAUGAUUUUCAAGACUGCAAAUUGCAUUAUAUUGAGGAUCUGUUGUAGAUGCACUGGUUUUAAUCGGAGUGGAGGGAGGAAGACUAAUUUAGGUGUGGGAUAGGAAACAUGUCUUAAUUGUGGGCUUGUUGUUACUGCUUCAUGUAACGAAUGGAAAUAAUUUUGUACUAUAUUUUGAUUUUUUUUAGAUGUAAGAAUGGAUUCUAGUACUUUUUGUAGAAGCAUAUAAGCUAUUGUUUACUUGGUCAUUCCUCCAAUACAUAGGUGAUUCUUUGAAAAACAAUAGAAUCACAUCCAGACUUACAUAAAAUGUUUUCAUCUCUGAGCCCUAUCGCAUAAGAAAAACAAAAGAAUCACAUUUGAUAAGAAAUAAUAACCCUUCAAUUAAUUUCCAUGUUCAUCUAAGAAAUAAUGAAGGCUUAUUCAAAAACUUACCGCAAUGUCUUCUUAUCUUUUUAUCCAAAUUUACUGAAAAUCUUUUUAUUUAUUAUUCUUCCCAUUGUCAAUUUUUGUAACAUGAUAUUAAAACAAUAUAUUCUAGAGGCUUAUGCAAUCUCUGUUACACUGCCAAUAACAUAUGAUUCAAAAAUUGAGUACAUGCAUCUUAUGAAUGACGCUGUCAUCAUUCCCUUGGUUCAGCUUUUUUCGCUCUUUGUGCCUCAGGCUCGGUACUAGAAUAAAAAAAAAAGACUAGCCGAACAACGACCAUAUGUUGUAGACUAGAAAUGUAGUUGCUGAUUUUGACACAACCUUUUACAGACUAGAAAUGUAGUGGCAAGUAGUUUCUGAAUAGUAAUUUUUUCAGCAACAAUAUAUUUGUUUGACACAAAUGCAUGAUUGGUACAAUGUGCUCAAAUCUAAUUUUAUGCGUAUUGAAUUUUUCUUUACCGUCAACAACAUAGGUUAUUCCAACGCCAACAAAGAGGAAGCCACCACUACAAAGACCUCUGAAUGGCCCUAUCACACAGGCGAUCACUCAAGCUAGCACUAGCCUUCACCUAUCAUCCAGUCUGCACCAGCCACUUUGCCAACAAAGACAUGCAGUUCUAUAGUUGUUAUUUAAUUCGUACUUCAACUUUUUUUGUUAUUGAACUAUAUUGUUUUAACACUUGCAACAUCCCAAUCGAGCGUAAGUGAUGUGGUCGUACUCAUGGCUUAGGCACAUCCCAGAUAGUCAAGGUCACUCAUAGGAAGCUGGAAAUCAUGUAUGAAGACAGCGAUGGACGACCAACUGGUCCUAAUGCUAGUCGAUUAGUAUCUGAAACAAGAUCUAGUGUGAGAAUAUUUGUACCUCUCCAAAAGAUCUUUUGGAGAGAUGUGACUCAAUUUGAAAAAUCCCCUGUUUAUGACAAAGUGGAGGUAACACUGUUGUUUUAACUUGUUUUGCUUCUUGUCCUAGUAGAACUUUUAUACAUCUUUUUCUUUCUUUAAACAGUCAUUGCUGAAGGAACAAAGCUAAUAACAAAUUAGUAUACCAGGUAUCAAAACGAAAGGUUCUCUAAACGAUUAGAAGUCAAUAUCUUAAUUUAAAAUAUUGGAUGUUUGCAAAUGGUCAUUGACAUGUAUGCAUAUCUUGAAUGAUUUGAAUUGCUGGCAUUUUGAUUUUGGUUGCUUGAGUAGCAACUUCAUAUUCCAAUAUAUUUGUGUGAAUUUUCUGCUCUUCAUUGUAUUUUACUGAUGUUAUGUUGCUAUAUAUAGGCUAUUUUUGAUGUAUAAAAUGAUAAAUAUGCAACUCUCAAAGAAUUCAUGGAGAAAUCAAUGGCCAACUUCCUUUAAGGAGUUUCAAUAUGAGCUGUACACACAUUACAAGAAGUUUCCAGACCAACCAAUGGCUCAUAGAAAAGCUAAUAAGCCUAAAGAAAUCCGACAUUAGGAUGAUUGGGAUUAUUUGUGUGACUAUUGGGAAAGUGAGCGGUUUUAGGUUCAUUUAUAUAUAGUGUGACUUCCAUUUAUGUUCAUUGGUUAACUUAUUUAGUUCAUUGACUAUUUUUGUUCUGUUAAUUGGACAUUACAGAAAAGAUCCAAGGUAGCAGUUGAUAAUGGAUCCUGACAAGAAUUUACCCAUUUUUUCUGGUUCUAGAUCAUUUAUUCAAUGUCCGGCUAUGGGGGUAAGUAAGAAACAAUUUCAAUUCAGUUCAAUUUUAUUCUUAUAACUUCUAAUAGGAUAAUGGAAUUGGACAACCAAACAGAAUUCAGCUAUGGAAGAACACACAUUACAAGGAUAAAAAAGGCUGGAUCCAUCUUGUGCCCGAGGAGCAAUAUGUAAUAAACAAAUACUAUAAGUGUUAAAGUUUAUUAUUACUUAUUGGAAAAAAUAUUUUACCACCUAAUUUGUGUUAAUACUUUUAUUGUCAUCUAGUAGACAUACAAACAACACAACAGGCACUUCAAAGGAGUAUAACUCACUACUAAUGACAUUGCGACUCACGUCCUUAGAACUACUUCUUGCUACUAUAGGGGUUUGGGCAAGGGUCCAAAGAUUCCACAUGCUAUAUCUCGUGCAGACAUGACUCAACGAGAGAAUGCCAAGCUUUGCCAAGUCGUGUGUAAUUUGAAGAACCAAAAUAAUCGUAUUAUCGCCUUGUUAAAAGAGAUUAUGCCAGGUGCCACCGCUAGAAUAGGCAGCCCUAGAGUUCCUACUACUCCUUAUUUGCCAUCGUCACCUGAUCACGAGUCAUAUGAUGAUCAUUGAUUUAAAGCUCUUUUAUUCCAUUUACAUGGUUUCAUGUUUUGAUGGUUAAUACUCCAUUAUUACAUAUGUUAUUAUUUUGGAUUAAGCUAGUCUUCUCUUACUUUGGAAUCUGACUAGGCUUUUUAUUUUGAAAUCCAUUAUAGUUUGGGCAUGU